UACAGAGGUCCCAAGCGUUGUUCGGAUUCACUGGGCGUAAAGGGUGCGUAGGUGGUUUGUUAAGUUGGAUGUGAAAGCCCCGGGCUCAACCUGGGAACUGCAUCCAAAACUGGCAAGCUAGAGUACGGUAGAGGGUGGUGGAAUUUCCUGUGUAGCGGUGAAAUGCGUAGAUAUAGGAAGGAACACCAGUGGCGAAGGCGGCUCUCUGGGACGGUACUGACGCUGAGACGCGAAAGCGUGGGGAGCGAACAGG
RNAcentral lists this ribosomal RNA (253 nucleotides) under uncultured bacterium. Its description in RNAcentral is "partial 16S ribosomal RNA". It matches the Rfam family "Bacterial small subunit ribosomal RNA", at positions 524 to 776 of the family's 1533-position model. The record is from RNAcentral.